Molecule: ribosomal RNA, 589 nt
Filed under: uncultured bacterium
Lineage: Bacteria
Description: partial 16S ribosomal RNA
Rfam family: Bacterial small subunit ribosomal RNA
Source: RNAcentral
UGGGGAAUUUUGGACAAUGGGCGCAAGCCUGAUCCAGCCAUGCCGCGUGCGGGAAGAAGGCCUUCGGGUUGUAAACCGCUUUUGUCAGGGAAGAAAUCUUCUGAGUUAAUACCUCGGGAGGAUGACGGUACCUGAAGAAUAAGUACCGGCUAACUACGUGCCAGCAGCCGCGGUAAUACGUAGGGUGCAAGCGUUAAUCGGAAUUACUGGGCGUAAAGCGUGCGCAGGCGGUUUUGUAAGACAGAGGUGAAAUCCCCGGGCUCAACCUGGGAACUGCCUUUGUGACUGCAAGGCUUGAGUGCGGCAGAGGGGGGAUGGAAUUCCGCGUGUAGCAGUGAAAUGCGUAGAUAUGCGGAGGAACACCGAUGGCGAAGGCAAUCCCCUGGGCCUGCACUGACGCUCAUGCACGAAAGCGUGGGGAGCAAACAGGAUUAGAUACCCCCGGUAGUCCACGCCCUAAAACGAUGUCAACUGGUUGUUGGGAAGGUUCCUUCUCAGUAACGUAGCUAACGCGUGAAGUUGACCGCCUGGGGAGUACGGCCGCAAGGUUGAAACUUAAAUGAAUUGACGGGGUCAUAGCUGUUUCCUG